CAUUGUUUACAUUCGAAUAUAAGACAAGCGGAUAACAAGUUGUGCCACUGGUCUUUUUUGACAAAAGUAUACAACUUAUUUAAUAAUAAUAAUAAUAAUAAUAAUAAUACAAAAUAGUAAACCAAAAAUUACAGUAUAUAUGUAAUUUAUACGAUACAAACUGACACCUUUACUAAUUGCCCGAUCAUCAAAUAUAACAAUGGGGCUCCUUACUUGAUACUGACCGUCGUCCCAAACCAAAGAGGCCGAUCUAAUAGAUCUCUUCAUUUUUCCAUGUAUAGUUAGAACAAAUGAUUGUUUUUCUCCCAAUGCAGUGAAGGACAAAACACUCGGAGUCACUGAAAUAUGUAUUCCUUUUGGAGCUGUUACAUUUGCUAUGUAAGUAGACAUUGGCAAUCCAACAUUAGUAACAAUCCUUUUAAAAGUUCCACUAACAUGAUGUUUGGGACGUGGGGCUUUGAGAGCAAAAGAAGGAUAGUUUAAGUCCCUUGCAGUCGAAUUUGCUACCUCGAAGCAAAUGAUAUAUUUCUCUGUGAUUAAGUAUAAAGUUGAUGCAUUGAAACCUUGACCGCAUAAAAAACUUAUGUAGUCUUUUUCAUCUGCCUCAUAGAUUAAGUCAAGCUUCAAAGCCUUGAGAGGGUCGAUCUGACCAGCUCCAUAAGCAAAUUCAGCAGCACGGUCGGGACCUAUCUGUUUAGCUGCAAGACAAGAAUCAC
This 716-nucleotide long non-coding RNA is filed under the name Medicago truncatula (barrel medic). RNAcentral's name for it is "long non-coding RNA (MTRU_LNC003557)". The record is from RNAcentral. Lineage: Eukaryota; Viridiplantae; Streptophyta; Magnoliopsida; Fabales; Fabaceae.